GGCCCUUCGGGGUACACGAGCGGCGAACGGGUGAUAACACGUGGGUGAUCUGCCCUGCACUUCGGGAUAAGCCUGGGAAACUGGGUCUAAUACCGGAUAUGACCUCCGAUCGCAUGGUUGGUGGUGGAAAGAUUUAUCGGUGCAGGAUGGGCCCGCGGCCUAUCAGCUUGUUGGUGGGGUAAUGGCCUACCAAGGCGACGACGGGUAGCCGACCUGAGAGGGUGACCGGCCACACUGGGACUGAGACACGGCCCAGACUCCUACGGGAGGCAGCAGUGGGGAAUAUUGCACAAUGGGCGAAAGCCUGAUGCAGCGACGCCGCGUGAGGGACGACGGCCUUCGGGUUGUAAACCUCUUUCAGCAGGGACGAAGCGCAAGUGACGGUACCUGCAGAAGAAGCACCGGCUAACUACGUGCCAGCAGCCGCGGUAAUACGUAGGGUGCAAGCGUUGUCCGGAAUUACUGGGCGUAAAGAGUUCGUAGGCGGUUUGUCACGUCGUUUGUGAAAACUCACAGCUCAACUGUGAGCCUGCAGGCGAUACGGGCAGACUUGAGUACUGCAGGGGAGACUGGAAUUCCUGGUGUAGCGGUGAAAUGCGCAGAUAUCAGGAGGAACACCGGUGGCGAAGGCGGGUCUCUGGGCAGUAACUGACGCUGAGGAACGAAAGCGUGGGUAGCGAACAGGAUUAGAUACCCUGGUAGUCCACGCCGUAAACGGUGGGCGCUAGGUGUGGGUUCCUUCCACGGAAUCC
This 752-nucleotide ribosomal RNA is filed under the name Rhodococcus sp. 50AAIII. RNAcentral describes it as "bacterial SSU rRNA". It matches the Rfam family "Bacterial small subunit ribosomal RNA", at positions 74 to 842 of the family's 1533-position model. Lineage: Bacteria; Bacillati; Actinomycetota; Actinomycetes; Mycobacteriales; Nocardiaceae. The record is from RNAcentral.